This 777-nucleotide long non-coding RNA is filed under the name Brassica napus (rape). RNAcentral describes it as "long non-coding RNA (BNAP_LNC004204)". The record is from RNAcentral. Lineage: Eukaryota; Viridiplantae; Streptophyta; Magnoliopsida; Brassicales; Brassicaceae.
GGUGCACUAGUAAUAAUAAAAGAAAAAAAAAGACAUAAAAAGGACUUGAACAUGAAUUAUUGGAGGCGCACAUUGCACAACAUGUGAUCUACCAAAUUAUUAAUGAUUUACCUCACAAAAUUCAAAAUAUAAAUAUUAGAAUCCUAAAUAUUAUUAGGGGUGCACAUGCACCCAUAGUAUAUAAGGUGGCUUCGCCCCUGAGAUUGAUGUCACGGUUCUAUAGUUACAGAAUCAGAAACUUAUCCAGCAAUUAAACUUACCUUAGCUUUUCGAGGAAUCCUUCAUCAGUGGUCGUGAAUAACUGAUUUUUCUCAGGACGAUGUUGAGACCAAGGUCCAAGAGUUGCAUCUCAACCAAAUAUGACGACCAAUUUAUCUCUGUUAGCCUGCUUUGGAACCAGAACCAGGUCAGAUAUUACUUUUGUGUCUUUUUUUUCUUUCGAGUUGUCUAGUUCCAUUAGGUGGUUUUCCUUUCGCUAACAAAUGAACAACAUUAUUACCGGUUCUUCUAACAAACAUAUGUAAUGACGUAGAGAAUUAUCAUCUCAAAACCAAAUCAAAAAACCAAAUAUGGCGUAAAAGAUUAUGAAAAUUAGGUAUUAUUAAUCAAAACCUCCGAAUCUCCUUCAAAAAUGGUAUUAGAAAACCACAACUCCAAGUUGAUUGCAUUGCUAAGAGGAGGGUCUUUGCUUCUGCUUCCAAACUUGAAAAUGUCAUGUCUGCAUAUGAUGAUCCCCCAACUUUGUUACUCCAUAGCUAUUGCCAACAAUCCAGCCGC